UACGGGGGGGGCAAGCGUUGUUCGGAAUUACUGGGCGUAAAGGGCUCGUAGGCGGCCAACUAAGACAUACGUGAAAUCCCUCGGCUUAACCGGGGAACUGCGUCUGAUACUGGAUGGCUUGAGUUCGGGAGAGGGAUGCGGAAUUCCAGGUGUAGCGGUGAAAUGCGUAGAUAUCUGGAGGAACACCGGUGGCGAAGGCGGCAUCCUGGACCGAUACUGACGCUGAGGAGCGAAAGCCAGGGGAGCAAACGGG
This 253-nucleotide ribosomal RNA is filed under the name uncultured bacterium. RNAcentral's name for it is "partial 16S ribosomal RNA". It matches the Rfam family "Bacterial small subunit ribosomal RNA", at positions 524 to 776 of the family's 1533-position model. The record is from RNAcentral.